CCUACGGGAGGCAGCAGUAAGGAAUAUUGGUCAAUGGACGAAAGUCUGAACCAGCCAUGCCGCGUGAAGGACGAAGGUCCUCUGGAUUGUAAACUUCUUUUAUCUGGGACGAAAAAAGGGAAUUCUUUCUCACUUGACGGUACCAGAGGAAUAAGCACCGGCUAACUCCGUGCCAGCAGCCGCGGUAAUACGGAGGGUGCAAGCGUUAUCCGGAUUCACUGGGUUUAAAGGGAGCGUAGGUGGGUCUGUAAGUCAGUGGUGAAAUCUCCGAGCUUAACUCGGAAACUGCCAUUGAUACUAUAGGUCUUGAAUUAUCUGGAGGUAAGCGGAAUAUGUCAUGUAGCGGUGAAAUGCUUAGAUAUGACAUAGAACACCGAUUGCGAAGGCAGCUUACUACGGAUAUAUUGACACUGAGGCUCGAAAGCGUGGGGAUCAAACAGGAUUAGAUACCCUGGUAGUCCACGCCCUAAACGAUGGAUACUCGACAUCAGCGAUACACUGUUGGUGUCUGNGNGAGANAUAAGUAUCCACCGNGGUAAGGUACGACCGCGAGUAGUUAAGUUACAANAGAGUUAGACGGCGNGAGACGNGCGACGGACGACGACGAGGGAGGAGG
This 616-nucleotide ribosomal RNA is filed under the name uncultured bacterium. RNAcentral describes it as "bacterial SSU rRNA". The stretch from base 1 to 532 matches the Rfam family "Bacterial small subunit ribosomal RNA", at positions 338 to 873 of the family's 1533-position model. The record is from RNAcentral.